Non-coding RNA from Paramuricea clavata, 355 nucleotides. The record is from the annotation of a GenBank genome assembly. Lineage: Eukaryota; Metazoa; Cnidaria; Anthozoa; Malacalcyonacea; Plexauridae.
UUCCGAAAAAUUGUGGUGUUGAUAAGCAACCGAAUCAAUGCUCUGGGUGGAAAAGACAAGGUUUCUGCACUAAUAGCCGUUACAUGAACUACAUGAAGCAAAACUGUCAAAAGACCUGCACCCCAGGGUGUAUUUAAUCGGUAUGGGUAGAACUGAAUCUUUGAAUUUAGUAAAGUAUGCUUUUCCAAAAUACAGAAACCUUAUUCUGCAAAUUCUUACUUAAAUUUGACAUAGCGAAACUAUAAGAGUAAGUUCUUUUUCUGAUUUUUCCAAAUUAAGGUGGCUCAGACUGCUCUGUAUAUUAAUCAGUCAUCACAAAAUUUCUUAUACAAGAAUCGUAAAACCAAACUCCAUG